CCCUCGUUCGACAAAGUUUUCAGGUGUGUAAUUCGAUCGAUUCUGCGUGAGUCCGUUCCUCGAGGGCUUUCAAAAUUAUAAACAAUUUUUUUAUAAAUAUAUUACGUCCCGGUUCCGCGAUUAAAUUAUCCUCUGGACAACAAGUUGGCUGCAUUUUUUCCGGCGGAAAGAAUAAACAACUGUAAUGUCCUCAAGGAAGUGAGUUUAUCGACGAAGAUAGUGAGAUAUCCCACUCUGCGCCUAGCCGAGUGUGCCUAUGUGGUGCCUCAAACCCGCCGUCGAAAGUUCAAGCAAAAUGGGAUCUACCUAGAAAAUUGCUACAAGCCUAGUACUCAUAAAGCAGGUACAAUGCAUUCAAAGGCUCAGGGAAAGAAGUGAAAAAAUGCGCAUCAUGUUUAAGGACUGUGACGCACCACCCUUCGGACAUUCUAACCUCGUACCUUAUGGCACGGUGCAUCUGAUUACUAAUAAACAGGUUCUGUAUUUUGCAUUUUGUUUAUAAUAAAACUUUGCGGAUGGAGCUAAUUAAA
This is a long non-coding RNA of Topomyia yanbarensis, 530 nucleotides long. RefSeq lists it as uncharacterized. The record is from RefSeq and is a predicted model, not a curated record. The transcript is spliced from 3 exons. NCBI's taxonomy places the organism in Eukaryota, Metazoa, Arthropoda, Insecta, Diptera, Culicidae.